UACAGAGGGGGCUAGCGUUGUUCGGAAUUACUGGGCGUAAAGCGUGCGUAGGCUGCCUUUCAAGUCAGGUGUGAAAUCCCAGAGCUUAACUCUGGAAUUGCACUUGAAACUGGAAGGCUUGAGAUCGAGAGAGGAUAGUAGAAUUCCUAGUGUAGGAGUGAAAUCCGUAGAUAUUAGGAGGAAUACCAGUGGCGAAGGCGGCUAUCUGGCUCGAUUCUGACGCUGAGGCACGAAAGCGUGGGGAGCAAACAGG
This 253-nucleotide unclassified non-coding RNA is filed under the name uncultured Rickettsiales bacterium. Its description in RNAcentral is "contains 16S-23S intergenic spacer region". It matches the Rfam family "Bacterial small subunit ribosomal RNA", at positions 524 to 776 of the family's 1533-position model. Lineage: Bacteria; Pseudomonadati; Pseudomonadota; Alphaproteobacteria; Rickettsiales. The record is from RNAcentral.